UAAUAGCCUAUGCUUUGAUACUUAUGUGCCUACGAGUUGAUUGGUAGUGCUAAGUGGUAUCAGACCCCUUAGGGUAUUGUGCGGUAGCAUGGUAUCAGAGCCUGGGGAGGGAGAUCCUUUUCCCCUAAUGGUUCAUUCAGAGCUCGGGGAGGGAGAUGUAGUAUGAGUCAUAAGUUUUAAUUUUUUAUUGGAGUCAGAUCCUUUUUCUACCAUAGGUUGUUAAUAGAGCCCGG
This 233-nucleotide long non-coding RNA is filed under the name Elaeis guineensis (African oil palm). RNAcentral's name for it is "long non-coding RNA (EGUI_LNC058790)". Lineage: Eukaryota; Viridiplantae; Streptophyta; Magnoliopsida; Arecales; Arecaceae. The record is from RNAcentral.